RNAcentral lists this ribosomal RNA (468 nucleotides) under uncultured bacterium. RNAcentral's name for it is "partial 16S ribosomal RNA". It matches the Rfam family "Bacterial small subunit ribosomal RNA", at positions 28 to 507 of the family's 1533-position model. The record is from RNAcentral.
GACGAACGCUGGCGGCGUGCUUAACACAUGCAAGUCGAACGGAAAGGCCCUGCUUUUGGGGGGUGCUCGAGUGGCGAACGGGUGAGUAACACGUGAGUAACCUGCCCUUGACUUUGGGAUAACUUCAGGAAACAGGGGCUAAUACCGGAUAGGAGCUCCUGCUGCAUGGUGGGGGUGGGAAAGUUUCGGCGGUUGGGGAUGGACUCGCGGCUUAUCAGCUUGUUGGUGGGGUAGUGGCUUACCAAGGCUUUGACGGGUAGCCGGCCUGAGAGGGUGGCCUGCCCCGUUGGGAUUGCGCUACGGCCCAGACUCCUCCGGGAGGCAGCGGUGGGGAAUAUUGCGCAGUGGGCGGAAGCCUGAUGCGGCGCCGCCGCGUCCGGUAUGACAGCCUUCGGGUUGUAAACCGCUUUCGCCUGUCACGAAGCGUGAGUGACGGUACUGGGUAAAGAAGCACCGGCUAACUACGUG